AUAUAUCAAUAAACACAAAUUUAUUUGAAGGUGACACCUGGUGUGACAAAUGCACACGUGAUGAAGUUGCUAUGGAUGCUGGAAGCUAACAGAAAAGUGGAGGAGAUAGGGAGGGGCUUAUCUGCCACAAUCACAUGGAUCUACUGCAAGAGCUUGAUCAGCCAUUCUGAUGUCUGCACACACUGGGAACAGAUCGGGUGUUAACAUUUCCUGGAACAAUGCUUUACCAAUGGGCAGGAAGUAGUAGACAGAGUCCCAUUCUGUCACCUGGACUGGAGUGCAAUGGCACCAUCUCAGCGCACUGC
Chlorocebus sabaeus (green monkey) is the source of this 305-nucleotide non-coding RNA. Lineage: Eukaryota; Metazoa; Chordata; Mammalia; Primates; Cercopithecidae. The record is from RefSeq and is a predicted model, not a curated record.